AUCAGUAAAAAAUCCAAUCGACAUUAUUCUUCCGACUGGGGCGGUAUAUGUUUAGCAUCAUAGAAA
Molecule: small nucleolar RNA, 66 nt
Filed under: Drosophila subobscura
Lineage: Eukaryota; Metazoa; Arthropoda; Insecta; Diptera; Drosophilidae
Also listed under: 1 other name
Source: RNAcentral